Molecule: ribosomal RNA, 492 nt
Filed under: uncultured bacterium
Lineage: Bacteria
Description: partial 16S ribosomal RNA
Rfam family: Bacterial small subunit ribosomal RNA
Source: RNAcentral
AGUGAACGCUGGCGGUAGGCCUAACACAUGCAAGUCGAACGGCAGCACAGUAAGAGCUUGCUCUUACGGGUGGCGAGUGGCGGACGGGUGAGGAAUACAUCGGAAUCUACUUUUUCGUGGGGGAUAACGUAGGGAAACUUACGCUAAUACCGCAUACGACCUACGGGUGGAAGCAGGGGAUCUUCGGACCUUGCGCGAUUGAAUGAGCCGAUGUCGGAUUAGCUAGUUGGCGGGGUAAAGGCCCACCAAGGCGACGAUCCGUAGCUGGGCUGAGAGGAUGAUCAGCCACACUGGAACUGAGACACGGUCCAGACUCCUACGGGAGGCAGCAGUGGGGAAUAUUGGACAAUGGGCGCAAGCCUGAUCCAGCCAUACCGCGUGGGUGAAGAAGGCCUUCGGGUUGUAAAGCCCUUUUGUUGGGAAAGAAAAGCAGCAGGUUAAUACCCCGCUGUUCUGACGGUACCCAAAGAAUAAGCACCGGCUAACUUCGUG